AUUGAACGCUGGCGGCAUGCCUUACACAUGCAAGUCGAACGGCAGCACGGGGGCAACCCUGGUGGCGAGUGGCGAACGGGUGAGUAACAUAUCGGAACGUGCCCUGGAGUGGGGGAUAACUAGUCGAAAGACUAGCUAAUACCGCAUACGAUCUACGGAUGAAAGUGGGGGACCGCAAGGCCUCACGCUCGUGGAGCGGC
RNAcentral lists this ribosomal RNA (200 nucleotides) under uncultured bacterium. RNAcentral describes it as "partial 16S ribosomal RNA". It matches the Rfam family "Bacterial small subunit ribosomal RNA", at positions 30 to 230 of the family's 1533-position model. The record is from RNAcentral.